GAUGAACGCUAGCUACAGGCUUAACACAUGCAAGUCGAGGGGUAACAAGAGAAAAGCUUGCUCUUCUUGUUGACGACCGGCGCACGGGUGAGUAACGCGUAUCCAACCUGCCUAUAACUAGGGAAUAACCUUGCGAAAGUAAGACUAAUACCCUAUGAUUUCCUUUGAUGACAUCAGAUUAGGAAUAAAGAUUUAUCGGUUAUAGAUGGGGAUGCGUCUGAUUAGCUUGUUGGCGGGGUAACGGCCCACCAAGGCAACGAUCAGUAGGGGUUCUGAGAGGAAGGUCCCCCACAUUGGAACUGAGACAUGGUCCAAACUCCUACGGGAGGCAGCAGUGAGGAAUAUUGGUCAAUGGGCGGAAGCCUGAACCAGCCAAGUAGCGUGCAGGAUGACGGCCCUAUGGGUUGUAAACUGCUUUUAUACAGGAAUAAAGUUAGCCACGUGUGGUUAUUUGUAGGUACUGUAUGAAUAAGGACCGGCUAAUUCCGUGCCAGCCGCCGCGGUAA
RNAcentral lists this ribosomal RNA (506 nucleotides) under uncultured bacterium. Its description in RNAcentral is "partial 16S ribosomal RNA". It matches the Rfam family "Bacterial small subunit ribosomal RNA", at positions 28 to 523 of the family's 1533-position model. The record is from RNAcentral.